CCUACGGGAGGCAGCAGUGAGGAAUAUUGGUCAAUGGUCGGGAGACUGAACCAGCCAAGCCGCGUGAGGGAUGAAGGUACAGAGUAUCGUAAACCUCUUUUGUCAGGGAACAAAGGCGGGGACGUGUCCCCGGAUGAGUGUACCUGAAGAAAAAGCAUCGGCUAACUCCGUGCCAGCAGCCGCGGUAAUACGGAGGAUGCGAGCGUUAUCCGGAUUUAUGGGGUUUAAAGGGUGCGCAGGCGGUCUGUUAAGUCAGCGGUCAAAGCCCGGUGCUCAACCCCGGCCCGCCGUUGAAACUGGCAGUCUCGAGUUGGAGAGAAGUAUGCGGAACGCGCGGUGUAGCGGUGAAAUGCAUAGAUAUCGCGCAGAACUCAGAUUGCGAAGGCAGCAUGCCGGCUCCACACUGACGCUGAGGCACGAAAGCGUGGGUAUCGAACAGGAUUAGAUACCCGGGUAGUC
RNAcentral lists this ribosomal RNA (459 nucleotides) under uncultured bacterium. Its description in RNAcentral is "partial 16S ribosomal RNA". It matches the Rfam family "Bacterial small subunit ribosomal RNA", at positions 338 to 795 of the family's 1533-position model. The record is from RNAcentral.